AGAAGGUUCUCAAUUUGAUGCACGACAGUAUGAUACCAAAAUGAAUGAAAUACUGACCUCAGAGGGUUCAGAUUUCUUAUCCUAUGAUGAGGUUCAUGAGAGUUUUGAUGAUAUGGGUCUAAAUGAGAACCUCUUGAGAGGCAUUUAUGCUUAUGGUUUUGAAAAACCCUCGGCUAUUCAGCAAAGGGGAAUUGUUCCUUUCUGCAAGGGACUUGAUGUUAUACAGCAAGCCCAAUCUGGGACAGGGAAAACUGCAACUUUCUGU
Molecule: unclassified non-coding RNA, 265 nt
Filed under: Hevea brasiliensis (rubber tree)
Lineage: Eukaryota; Viridiplantae; Streptophyta; Magnoliopsida; Malpighiales; Euphorbiaceae
Source: RNAcentral